GGGGGCGAAAUGGCUUCGACGGAGUAAUGAAAGGUUAUUAGGCGAGUAGAUAAUAAUACUAAAUCUUAAAAAAUGUAUUAAACUUUUAGAUGCCAAUAUCAAUAUUACAUCUGGUCUUGUUGUCGCUAAUGAUGAGUUUUAUACUCCUCUCGUAGCUGCCGCAUAAUAAUGACCUCUGCUGAUUUACGCAGGAAACAGAAGAUAAAUCAACCAGGAAAUGUAGCUGCCUGUUAUAAUCUAGAAGCACUAUCUUUUUCAAGAUAUAAAAUUUGAAAUUAGUUAAAUAUGUUAAUUGAAAAGUUUGACUAAUUAUAUAUAUUAACAAAAUACUCGUAAUACUUAAUAAUUUAAUAGUUAUUUCGGACGGGAAGUUCGACUCUUCCCCGCUUCCACCA
Molecule: transfer-messenger RNA, 395 nt
Filed under: Pseudomonadota bacterium
Lineage: Bacteria; Pseudomonadati; Pseudomonadota
Description: Proteobacteria bacterium (marine metagenome) transfer-messenger RNA
Rfam family: transfer-messenger RNA
About the family: Bacterial tmRNA, also known as 10Sa RNA or SsrA, is named for its dual tRNA and mRNA-like properties. Its role is to liberate the mRNA from a stalled ribosome.
Source: RNAcentral